RNAcentral lists this ribosomal RNA (254 nucleotides) under uncultured bacterium. RNAcentral's name for it is "partial 16S ribosomal RNA". It matches the Rfam family "Bacterial small subunit ribosomal RNA", at positions 524 to 776 of the family's 1533-position model. The record is from RNAcentral.
UACGUAGGGUGCAAGCGUUUAAUCGGAAUUACUGGGCGUAAAGCGUGCGCAGGCGGUUUUUGUAAGUCAGAUGUGAAAUCCCCGGGCUUAACCUGGGAACUGCGUUUUGAAACUACAAGGCUAGAGUGUGGCAGAGGGGGUGGAAUUCCACGUGUAGCAGUGAAAUGCGUAGAGAUGUGGAGGAACACCGAUGGCGAAGGCAGCCCCUGGGUUAACACUGACGCUCAGGCACGAAAGCGUGGGGAGCAAACAGG